UCAGGUCUGGUGAAAAUGUACGUAUUUUAAUGGUUUCGGGAAUAGGCGCACAAAAAUGGCUCGCUAGCCCCACCUACAAUAUUACGAAAAUUCUGCCCCUGCACUACGUUUAUCGUAGACUCACGAAACUUACACAUACACAUAUGUAGCAUGGCAGGGCGGACAUAAAACUCCAUUGUAGCCCCCCCCUAAACCCAACAGGAAGUCCGCCAUUUUGUUUUGAAUGUGCAAAAUUAGUGCGAUUUUGCCCAUUUCCACAUGUCGUACUUUAACGAACUCCUCCUAGAGCUUUCAUCCGAUCAACUUCAAACUUGGUGUGUGUCAUCUUAACAUGUUAACGAUGAAAAGUUAUUAAAAGAAAAACUUUUCGUCAUAGGGCGUGGCCGUGGCGGGGCGGCCAUUUAAUGCGAUUCGCCACCGAAACAGGAAGUGGGUGUAACUCGAGCGUACGUUGUCCGAUUAGCUCGAAACUUUCCACGACUCAUCAGAGUCCGCCCCUGACGACAUCUACAUGCCGCUUUUGGCUCAAAGUCAUACCGCCCCCUAGUGGCAAGAGGAAGUAGGCCUAAAAGACAAGGUGCUAAACUUUAACGAACUCCUCCUUGAGAUUUCAUCAGAUCAACUUCAAACUUGGUGUGUGUCAUCUCAAGAUGUUGAAGAUGAAAAGUUAUUAAAAGA
This is a long non-coding RNA of Etheostoma cragini (Arkansas darter), 678 nucleotides long. RefSeq lists it as uncharacterized. Lineage: Eukaryota; Metazoa; Chordata; Actinopteri; Perciformes; Percidae. The record is from RefSeq and is a predicted model, not a curated record. The transcript has 2 exons.